This 375-nucleotide ribosomal RNA is filed under the name Triticum aestivum (bread wheat). RNAcentral describes it as "partial small subunit ribosomal RNA". Lineage: Eukaryota; Viridiplantae; Streptophyta; Magnoliopsida; Poales; Poaceae. The record is from RNAcentral.
AUGUCGUGGUCGUCUAGUGCCAGGUCCGCUCCCGGAUUUCGUCGAGCUGCAGGAAGGAGGGGGGAGGAGUCGCGCUCGCCGGUACGCUACCGCGAGCUCCCAGUGGCAUACGAGCCUCCAGUGAUGUGCCACUGCUCACCUCCGAGGAAGGCGCCAAUAUGGAUCUCCUGGAGCAGGCAGAACCCUGGUAGGAGGUACUAUAGCUGCGUGGAUGCUAUGCACGGUGGCUGUGGAUUUGUGCAAUGGCAUGAUGAUCCAUUGCCCACAUUCUGGAGUGAGCUCAUUAGGGAUCUACGUGAUGAAGUAUGGAGGCUUAAAGGUGCAACUGUUGCUAGAUCUGAAGAUCAAUUUCCAAUCCUGACUCCAAGAAGAUGA